UGGGGAAUAUUGCACAAUGGGGGAAACCCUGAUGCAGCGACGCCGCGUAAGCGAAGAAGGUUUUCGAAUCGUAAAGCUCUGUCCUAUGAGAAGAUAAUGACGGUAUCAUAGGAGGAAGCCCCGGCUAAAUACGUGCCAGCAGCCGCGGUAAUACGUAUGGGGCGAGCGUUGUCCGGAAUUAUUGGGCGUAAAGGGUACGUAGGCGGUCUAUUAAGUCAGGUGUGAAAGCGUGAGGCUUAACCUCAUUAAGCACUUGAAACUGAUAGACUUGAGUGAAGGAGAGGAAAGUGGAAUUCCUAGUGUAGCGGUGAAAUGCGUAGAUAUUAGGAGGAAUACCGGUGGCGAAGGCGACUUUCUGGACUUUUACUGACGCUCAGGUACGAAAGCGUGGGGAGCAAACAGG
RNAcentral lists this ribosomal RNA (403 nucleotides) under Verrucomicrobiota bacterium. Its description in RNAcentral is "Verrucomicrobia bacterium partial 16S ribosomal RNA". It matches the Rfam family "Bacterial small subunit ribosomal RNA", at positions 355 to 776 of the family's 1533-position model. The record is from RNAcentral. Lineage: Bacteria; Pseudomonadati; Verrucomicrobiota.